CCUCAAUCCACUCUCCCGGCAUCCUCUUCCCCGCGGCCCCUCCUCCGCUCCCCUCCUCAGUGGUGCGUUCUUGGCGGCGGGGAGAGACACCACCCAAGCCAUGGGCGGCGGCGGAGAAGAGAAGCCGUUCAAUUUCCUCCAGAGGGCGUCAUAGCCGGAGGGACCGCCGGCGUCGUGGU
Molecule: long non-coding RNA, 179 nt
Organism: Lolium rigidum
Lineage: Eukaryota; Viridiplantae; Streptophyta; Magnoliopsida; Poales; Poaceae
Exons: 3
Source: RefSeq, a predicted model, not a curated record